This is a long non-coding RNA of Cucumis sativus (cucumber), 616 nucleotides long. RefSeq lists it as uncharacterized. Lineage: Eukaryota; Viridiplantae; Streptophyta; Magnoliopsida; Cucurbitales; Cucurbitaceae. The record is from RefSeq and is a predicted model, not a curated record. The transcript has 2 exons.
CAAGAGAGAACAAAUAUAUUGUUAAAGAGAAAAGCUUUUGAUUUAGAGAAUAUCCUCCGUCUUCAUCAAUUCAUCCAUAAUUAAUAGAGAUGGAGAGCAGCAAUGUUAUGGCAAUCAAAUGUGGUUUAAUUGUUUGUCUAUUCCUAAGCUCGCUCUCCAUCGCCCAUUCCUUCUUCGACGAUAAAACUCAGGUUGAAAUAUGCUUCAAAUCUUGUUUAAACGUAUGUCUCUACGAUAAGAAAAGCAUUCGUUUUUUGUGCCCGUUGAAAUGCACCAAAAUUUGCGUGGCCGACCCGUGGACCAAAAACUUCCAAGCCCUACUGACCAAAAAGGAUUCGUCGUGUGAGCUCGACUGUGCAACUUCUAAGUGUACCAACUCAAUUAGCACGAACGAUAUUAUAGAUGAAAAAGAAAUGGGGAAGUGUGUGGAUUCUUGCACUCAAAAAUGUUCCAACAAUGAGAAUUGAUGAUGUGGAUCUCCUAAAUGAACCUUUACCUCUUUUUUUUCUUUCUUUUUCUCCACAAAAAAUAUAAGUCAGUUUUGUAUGAAACAAAUUUAUUGUUGUAUUGUUUCAUCAUAUUAUAAAUGAAACUCCAUUAUUUCUGUUGGAAGAAA